AUGGAGGCCCAGGAGUUGGGUGGGGAGACAGGGGUAUGUAGCUAUCUUGUUGCAGUGACAGAGGCUUAGCAGAUGUUGGAAGGAAGGGGAGGGCUGUUGUCUUGCAUCAGUAUAGUCUCUAUUUUUGACUUUUACAUGUGUGUGGGUUUUUUAAUGUUUUUGUUGUGUUGUCUGGACUUUGUUGUUUUUUUUGUGAUGCUUGGAGUGUUUCAUAAAAGAUCUCCAAGGCCCUGCUGACAUUCUAGGGUUCUGUUUUGUGGUCCGUGCAGUGCGCGAAAGGACCACUGCAGAUGGCUGCUUUUUGGGUUCAGUAGGAAACAGGGUGGAGGAAGCCGGGAAAAUUAUCAGACUGUUGCCAUCACUGAACAAAAAAAGCCAGCUAAAUUCCUGCCAGACUACGGGAGCUGGUUGGGUCAUAGCCGUGUUGUGAAGCUCACUGUCUUUGUAUCUGGGAGAACGUUGCUUUGCUCCUUUACGUAAAGUGUGUCCAGAUGCCAGCAUGAGACAGGCACUUCAUGGAAACGUCUGAUUGCUAACAGACGGCACAGGCAUGCAGGGCUAAAAGCCACCUGCACAAACUCCUUGGCAGAUUCAAACCGAGGCUGUCUCCCCAGUCAGCUGCAAGCUUACUAACUGCUGACACUUCAGCACCAGCUGUAAGAGACUUGGCACUGCCAAGGUGUUUGCUUAAUCUCUAGGGGCAGAGUGCAGGCCUUGUCAUGUCAUUUUGCUCCCUGCCAAGCCUGGCAUCCGGUGACUCAGCAAGGGAGCUGCUUGCGUGUCAACUUCAUCACCGAACAUAGCACAUGUGGGGCCAAAUCCAUCCCUGGUGGAAUACUGCUGAUUUCAGGAAAGCACGACUGUGUUGUAUAAAUUACAUACAUAGGCUGCAAGCAGAGGGUCCCUUCUGUUUGUGGAUCACACAUACAUACACCCCAGUAUCCCGCACAGAAGGCGGGAUCAGUUGUCUUUGUCUCCUGGCACCAUUCCACCUGUCUCUAGAUUUGCAGGGAAACUCAAUGCUCUAUGAGUAGGAUGGGAUGGGAGUGGACUGGGGAAGAGGCAAGGACACCCAUGCACUCUGACUCCUGGCAAGCAACAAUAAAUCCUCCUCAAAAUUAAUGCCGCUUGGGGCUGCAUUGGCCUUUUGGGAGAGAUGGGACUCGAACUUCCUGCUUGCUCUAUAUGAAUAAAUUCCCUUCCUUCCUAAUGGGAUGAUCCAAGGGAAACUCUGAGACACAGAGGUCCCAUUUCCUGCCCCCCUCCCUCAUGCCUCCUCCUGGGGUUUUUUUUGGUGGUUUGUUUGUUUGUUUUUUUCCAAGUGUAUGGGGUGUAUCCUCUAAGAUGAUUGUCAAUAAACCACCCUAUGCCCAAAAGGUAGUGAAGUGCCUCCAUGAAGCAUUUUCUUCCUUGGAGCAGACUUUAAUACUAAUGCCCUGGUUUUACUACUGCCCCAUUAGAUGAGAGUUGUGGCAUUUAUCAAUGAGAUCCCAUCCUCCAAUGUUCCUCAGCCUGUGAGCUGCCUCUGUGAUUCUGAUUUCAAAUUCAGAUCAGCUGAGGCCUCUUAGCUUCUGCUCCACCUGCUUAUUAGAAUCAAAGCUCAUUCACCUUCCAUCAGGUUGUGGGGAAAGAGGCAAGGCUCAAAUCGGACUCAAUUUUACCUUUCUGCCUCUUAGUGCAAUUAAUUUUGUCUUGGUGGCUGUGGACCAGGGCAAUUAAAAUCCUCUCUGACUU
Dermochelys coriacea (leatherback sea turtle) is the source of this 1734-nucleotide long non-coding RNA. RefSeq lists it as uncharacterized. The record is from RefSeq and is a predicted model, not a curated record. The transcript has 3 exons. Lineage: Eukaryota; Metazoa; Chordata; Testudines; Dermochelyidae.